Molecule: non-coding RNA, 1179 nt
Organism: Lactuca sativa (garden lettuce)
Lineage: Eukaryota; Viridiplantae; Streptophyta; Magnoliopsida; Asterales; Asteraceae
Source: RefSeq, a predicted model, not a curated record
AGUCUUCUAUCUAUUUCUUUCUAGAUUGUUCCCACCGCCAUAACUUCUCAAUCUCUGAUCGGUGGCUUCCAACGACAUCUCGAUCUUCAUUCUUCUUGAUGUCUCCACUGCACCGGAAUCAACCAUUGGUACACUGUGUGAGUUCAACAAUCCAUUUCAGCCAUAUAUAAAGCAGAUGCCCACAUCACACUUUCGGUUAUCUGCCCUCACACGCGUACGUCAUUUUUCUUCACUCAUCAUUGUUUGCUUCCACCGCCUCACCAGCUUUUCAGUCAGCAUCAACAUCGCCGUAGUCAACCAAUGAGGAGAACUUGGUUUGUGCUAUGGUUCGAUUUAGGUGAUUAGGGUUGGGGGUGAUGCCUACUCGAUUGGAGCCAUUACUAUUAUGAAAGCUUAUUAUAGAAAGUGUUUGAGUUUCCUCUGUGGUUUGAUUAAUGCAUCAAUGAAAUUUUCUGACUAAAUCACUGUCUCUGUUAUCAUCAGGUCCACCAAGAAACUUUGUAGAAAUUGCACCAGAAGCAGUGAAGAAGAUCCAAUUUAGUUUAACAGUAUUCUUGGGAAAGGUGAUGCAAGGAUAAUCAACAUUCAAAGUGUCUCAGGAGCCACAAUUGGGAUUCUAUCUGAUACUGCCUCCAAGAUUCAUCAUCACUUAUAUCUAAAACUAUUGGGUACUGCUGACGAAAUCAAAAUUGCUGAACUCCUCAUUACAGAUGUAAUCACAGAGGAAUUUUGAGAAGGUAUUUGGUUGAUCUAGUGGAGAUGCGGUGGCCGACAAACAUAGCUCAAGUUUCUCUCUUUAGGAAUCGUAUAAGUAGAGAACUUAUGAUCUUGAAAGCCAUAGAAGAAGGUUCAAAAACUUUGUUUAAUAUCGUUGCAUAUACAUAUUCUGACGUUGAGUGCAAUCAUUGGGUGAUCAUUGCAUCUACUGUGAGGCUCCAUGUUGAGCAUCUUGACCAUCGAAAGAAAGUGCCUAAGUUUUUCAGGUAUCUGCUCUUGAGAAGGUUGGUAUGGUACCUUCAUCUAUUAAAUUUCAUAUGGGUAAAUUGAUGUAUGCAAUUAUAGUCUAAGAUCUUAAGUGAAAAACAUUUUGUUUAUCCCUAUCAUGUUUUAAAUUACUUUCAAGCUUUAGUUGAUGCCUUCAGUUUUGCAUUAAAUCAAUUCAACAGUUGAAGGCUAUAA